UACUGACUUCAGCUUGGAGAAUACUGG
RNAcentral lists this non-coding RNA (27 nucleotides) under Bombyx mori (domestic silkworm). Lineage: Eukaryota; Metazoa; Arthropoda; Insecta; Lepidoptera; Bombycidae. The record is from RNAcentral.